The submitters of this non-coding RNA (54 nucleotides) gave its source as unclassified sequences. The record is from Rfam.
UACGUUCAUCAUGUUUAUCAUGACGGAAGUAGGUGAAAGCCGAAGGAACGCAUG